GCAUUGGUGGUUCAGUGAUAGAACUCUCACCCUCCAUGUCAGAGGCCUGGGUUACAUUCCUGGCCGAUGAA
RNAcentral lists this transfer RNA (71 nucleotides) under Loxodonta africana (African savanna elephant). It matches the Rfam family "tRNA". Rfam says of the family: Transfer RNA (tRNA) molecules are approximately 80 nucleotides in length. Their secondary structure includes four short double-helical elements and three loops (D, anti-codon, and T loops). Lineage: Eukaryota; Metazoa; Chordata; Mammalia; Proboscidea; Elephantidae. The record is from Rfam by way of RNAcentral.